This 168-nucleotide ribosomal RNA is filed under the name Scleromitrion diffusum. RNAcentral's name for it is "Oldenlandia diffusa partial 18S ribosomal RNA". It matches the Rfam family "Eukaryotic small subunit ribosomal RNA", at positions 1665 to 1828 of the family's 1831-position model. The record is from RNAcentral. Lineage: Eukaryota; Viridiplantae; Streptophyta; Magnoliopsida; Gentianales; Rubiaceae.
CACAAAGCCCGUCGCUCCUACCGAUUGAAUGGUCCGGUGAAGUGUUCGGAUUGCGGCGACGUGAGCGGUUCGCCGCCCGCGACGUCGCAAGAAGUCCACUGAACCUUAUCAUUUAGAGGAAGGAGAAGUCGUAACAAGGUUUCCGUAGGUGAACCUGCGGAAGGAUCA